UACGGAGGGUGCAAGCGUUAUCCGGAUUCACUGGGUUUAAAGGGUGCGUAGGUGGGUUGGUAAGUCAGUGGUGAAAUCUCCGUGCUUAACAUGGAAACUGCCAUUGAUACUACUGAUCUUGAAUUUUCAGGAGGUAAGCGGAAUAUGUCAUGUAGCGGUGAAAUGCUUAGAUAUGACAUAGAACACCAAUUGCGAAGGCAGCUUACUACAGGAAUAUUGACACUGAUGCACGAAAGCGUGGGAUCAAACAGG
This 252-nucleotide ribosomal RNA is filed under the name uncultured bacterium. Its description in RNAcentral is "partial 16S ribosomal RNA". It matches the Rfam family "Bacterial small subunit ribosomal RNA", at positions 524 to 776 of the family's 1533-position model. The record is from RNAcentral.